Molecule: ribosomal RNA, 998 nt
Filed under: uncultured crenarchaeote
Lineage: Archaea; Thermoproteati; Thermoproteota
Description: bacterial SSU rRNA
Rfam family: Archaeal small subunit ribosomal RNA
Source: RNAcentral
UCUCCGCAAUGGGCGAAAGCCCGACGGGUUACCCCGAGUGCCACCCUCGUGGUGGCUUUUGCCCGCUCUAAAAAGGCGGGCGAAUAAGGGGAGGGCAAGUCGGGUGUCAGCCGCCGCGGUAAUACCCGCUCCCCGAGUGGUGGAGGCUAUUACUGGGCCUAAAGCGCCCGUAGCCGGCCCGGUGUGUCCCUCGUUAAAUCCACGGGCUUAACCCGUGGGCUGCGGGGGAUACUACCGGGCUUGGGGGUGGGAGAGGCGCCCGGUAUUCCCGGGGUAGGGGUAAAAUCCUCUGAUCCCGGGAGGACCAUCAGUGGCGAAGGCGGGGCGCCAGAACACGCCCGACGGUGAGGGGCGAAAGCUGGGGGAGCAAACGGGAUUAGAUACCCCGGUAGUCCCAGCUGUAAACGAUGCGGGCUAGCUGUCGGGGCGGCUACGGGCCGCCCCGGUGGCGAAGGGAAGCCAUUAAGCCCGCCGCCCGGGGAGUACGGCCGCAAGGCUGAAACUUAAAGGAAUUGGCGGGGGAGCACCACAAGGGGUGGACGUUGCGGCUUAAUCGGAUUCAACGCCGGAAACCUUACCGGGGCUGACGGCAGGAUGAAGGUCGGGCUGACGACCCUACCUGACGAGCCGAGAGGAGGUGCAUGGCCGUCGCCGGUGCGUGCCGUGAGGUGUCCUGUUAAGUCAGGCAACGGACGAGACCCGCGCCCCCAGUUGCCAGCGGCCGAGAGGCGCCGGGCACUCUGGGGGGACUGCCCCCGAAAGGGGGAGGAAGGAGCGGGCUACGGCAGGUCGGUAUGCCCCGAAUGCCCCGGGCCGCACGCGACGUUCAAUGGCGGGGACAGCGGGAUGCGACCCCGAAAGGGGGAGCCAAUCCCUAAACCCCGCCUCAGUAGGGAUCGAGGGUUGCAACUCGCCCUCGUGAACGCGGAAUCCCUAGUAACCGCGCGUUAACACCGCGCGGUGAAUACGUCCCCGCUCCUUGCACACACCGCCCGUCA